UAAUAACCUUGUUAGGUGAGGCUCCUAUACAAACAUAUGCUAUUGCUCAGAAACGUCGAAAGACGCCAAUGAGUCAAACAGGAAUUGUCGGAUUAAGGCUUUUUCAAAUAGCUAAGAGUGUUUCUUUACGUUGUAUAGUGCUAAAACUCGGACGAUGAGAUGAUGC
This is a regulatory RNA element of Enterococcus hirae ATCC 9790, 166 nucleotides long. It matches the Rfam family "M-box riboswitch aptamer (ykoK leader)". Rfam says of the family: M-box riboswitch, also know as ykoK leader is described as a metaloregulatory RNA that sense divalent metals and function as a genetic control element of genes related to divalent metal transport in bacteria. The record is from Rfam. Lineage: Bacteria; Bacillati; Bacillota; Bacilli; Lactobacillales; Enterococcaceae.